Long non-coding RNA from Plodia interpunctella (Indianmeal moth), 729 nucleotides. RefSeq lists it as uncharacterized. The record is from RefSeq and is a predicted model, not a curated record. NCBI's taxonomy places the organism in Eukaryota, Metazoa, Arthropoda, Insecta, Lepidoptera, Pyralidae. The transcript has 2 exons.
UUUUUAUCUACUGUAACAUAUAUUUAUUUAUUUAAACUAAAUUCAACAUAAAACAAAAGUAAAAAAAAAAAUAAUUAAUGAAAUAUUAACCUAAUUAAACUAAAAUAAAAAUACAAACACUAUAUACAUUAAAACUAUAACUAAAACCCUACUAAUACAAUAAUAAAUCACUAAAUAACAAACAAAUAAACAAAAACAUUAAAACAUAGGUACGUAAGUUGGUCACAUCAAUAAUGGCUAGUUGUUCGUUCUCACUGCAACAUACGACCGGUCCUUUGUUCUCGUCCCCACAUAAACCGGCGCGUAGCGGGCGAUCGCGGAAAGCGAUUUUGAUCUUCAUACAGCGGACACGUAAACGCUCAUCUCAACGCAGUGUUCAAAAAAUUUAAAUACGCUGAUAAUUAAUUCCUCCAGUUUUUUUUUACACACUGUGACUAGAAUUUCUAAAGUGUAAAAUUUCUCUUCAGUUUAAUUUCAAAGUUUUGUGUGUGCAAUAUUAUUACCCGUGAAUCGGGUCCGAGUUUAGGGCUGAGACGACAGCCAUAUCAUUGCGCACCACCCUGCGACUGCUGAGUGCUGUCCGUACGACCGACCAUCCCAGCGUAGUCAUUGACCGAAGACUGGUCGCGAUUAAGGGCAGUACCUCUUUGUCAGGAUUUAGAACACGGCAUAGGGCAGUAGGACUCAACCCUGUAUUUAUUUUCUUUAAAUAAAAUUAUUAUCUGUGGA